AAAACCCCGCAAGGGGUUAGUAGAGUGGCGAACGGGUGAGUNACACGUGGGUGACCUACCUUCGAAUGGGGGAUAACGUCCCGAAAGGGACGCUAAUACCGCAUAACAUCCUGCUUUUGAACAAGUGGAGAUCAAAGCCGGGGAUCGCAAGACCUGGCGUUUGAAGAGGGGCCCGCGUCUGAUUAGCUAGUUGGUGAGGUAACGGCUCACCAAGGCGACGAUCAGUAUCCGGCCUGAGAGGGCGGACGGACACACUGGGACUGAGACACGGCCCAGACUCCUACGGGAGGCAGCAGUGGGGAAUUGUUCGCAAUGGGCGCAAGCCUGACGACGCAACGCCGCGUGGAGGAUGAAGGUCUUCGGAUUGUAAACUCCUGUUGCCCGGGACGAAACGCUUCGACCUAACACGUCGGAGUUUGACGGUACCGGGUGAGGAAGCCCCGGCUAACUCUGUGCCAGCAGCCGCGGUAAUACAGAGGGGGCAAGCGUUGUUCGGAAUUACUGGGCGUAAAGGGCGCGUAGGCGGCCUUCUAAGUCGAACGUGAAAUCCCCGGGCUCAACCCGGGAACUGCGUCCGAUACUGGAAGGCUUGAAUCCGGGAGAGGGAUGCGGAAUUCCAGGUGUAGCGGUGAAAUGCGUAGAUAUCUGAGGAACACCGGUGGCGAAGGCGGCAUCCUGGACCGGCAUUGACGCUGAGGCGCGAAAGCCAGGGGAGCAAACGGGAUUAGAUACCCCGGUAGUCCUGGCCCUAAACGAUGAAUGCUUGGUGUGGCGGGUAUCGAUCCCUGCCGUGCCGAAGCUAACGCAUUAAGCAUUCCGCCUGGGGAGUACGGUCGCAAGGCUG
Molecule: ribosomal RNA, 844 nt
Filed under: uncultured Acidobacteriota bacterium
Lineage: Bacteria; Pseudomonadati; Acidobacteriota
Description: bacterial SSU rRNA
Rfam family: Bacterial small subunit ribosomal RNA
Source: RNAcentral